Molecule: ribosomal RNA, 563 nt
Filed under: Shigella sonnei
Lineage: Bacteria; Pseudomonadati; Pseudomonadota; Gammaproteobacteria; Enterobacterales; Enterobacteriaceae
Also listed under: 1 other name
Description: partial 23S ribosomal RNA
Rfam family: Bacterial large subunit ribosomal RNA
Source: RNAcentral
UGUUUGAUGUUCUAACGUGGACCCGUGAUCCGGGUUGCGGACAGUGUCUGGUGGGUAGUUUGACUGGGGCGGUCUCCUCCUAAAGAGUAACGGAGGAGCACGAAGGUUGGCUAAUCCUGGUCGGACAUCAGGAGGUUAGUGCAAUGGCAUAAGCCAGCUUGACUGCGAGCGUGACGGCGCGAGCAGGUGCGAAAGCAGGUCAUAGUGAUCCGGUGGUUCUGAAUGGAAGGGCCAUCGCUCAACGGAUAAAAGGUACUCCGGGGAUAACAGGCUGAUACCGCCCAAGAGUUCAUAUCGACGGCGGUGUUUGGCACCUCGAUGUCGGCUCAUCACAUCCUGGGGCUGAAGUAGGUCCCAAGGGUAUGGCUGUUCGCCAUUUAAAGUGGUACGCGAGCUGGGUUUAGAACGUCGUGAGACAGUUCGGUCCCUAUCUGCCGUGGGCGCUGGAGAACUGAGGGGGGCUGCUCCUAGUACGAGAGGACCGGAGUGGACGCAUCACUGGUGUUCGGGUUGUCAUGCCAAUGGCACUGCCCGGUAGCUAAAUGCGGAAGAGAUAAGUGCUG